Molecule: non-coding RNA, 78 nt
Organism: Podarcis lilfordi (Lilford's wall lizard)
Lineage: Eukaryota; Metazoa; Chordata; Lepidosauria; Squamata; Lacertidae
Source: the annotation of a GenBank genome assembly
UAGAGUUGGCUCAGUUGGCAGAGCAUGAGACUCUCACACAUCUCAGGGUUGUGAGUUCGAGGCCCAUGUAGAGCAAAA